AACGCGAAGAACCUUACCUGGGUUUGAAAUGUAGUGGUAAGCCUCAGAGAUGAGGUCCCCUCUUCGGAGGCCGCUACAUAGGUGCUGCAUGGCUGUCGUCAGCUCGUGUCGUGAGAUGUUGGGUUAAGUCCCGCAACGAGCGCAACCCUUGUCCAUAGUUGCUAACGCGUAGUGGCGAGAACUCUAUGGAGACUGCCGGUGAUAAACCGGAGGAAGGUGGGGAUGACGUCAAGUCCUCAUGGCCUUUAUGUCCAGGGCUACACACGUGCUACAAUGGACGGUACAAAGAGUCGCAAAACCGCGAGGUGGAGCUAAUCUCAAAAAGCCGUUCUCAGUUCGGAUUGCACUCUGCAACUCGAGUGCAUGAAGCUGGAAUCGCUAGUAAUCGCGGAUCAGAACGCCGCGGUGAAUACGUUCCCGGGUCUUGACACCCAAGG
Molecule: ribosomal RNA, 437 nt
Filed under: uncultured bacterium
Lineage: Bacteria
Description: bacterial SSU rRNA
Rfam family: Bacterial small subunit ribosomal RNA
Source: RNAcentral